RNAcentral lists this ribosomal RNA (617 nucleotides) under uncultured bacterium. RNAcentral describes it as "bacterial SSU rRNA". It matches the Rfam family "Bacterial small subunit ribosomal RNA", at positions 338 to 947 of the family's 1533-position model. The record is from RNAcentral.
CCUACGGGAGGCAGCAGUGGGGAAUUUUGGACAAUGGGGGCAACCCUGAUCCAGCAAUGCCGCGUGAGUGAAGAAGGCCUUCGGGUUGUAAAGCUCUUUUGUCAGGGAAGAAACGGUUCUGGCUAAUAUCCGGAGCUAAUGACGGUACCUGAAGAAUAAGCACCGGCUAACUACGUGCCAGCAGCCGCGGUAAUACGUAGGGUGCGAGCGUUAAUCGGAAUUACUGGGCGUAAAGCGUGCGCAGGCGGUUGUGCAAGACAGAUGUGAAAUCCCCGGGCUCAACCUGGGAAUUGCAUUUGUGACUGCACGGCUAGAGUGUGUCAGAGGGGGGUAGAAUUCCACGUGUAGCAGUGAAAUGCGUAGAGAUGUGGAGGAAUACCGAUGGCGAAGGCAGCCCCCUGGGAUAACACUGACGCUCAUGCACGAAAGCGUGGGGAGCAAACAGGAUUAGAUACCCUGGUAGUCCACGCCCUAAACGAUGCCAACUAGUUGUCGGGUCUUAAUUGACUUGGUAACGCAGCUAACGCGUGAAGUUGACCGCCUGGGGGNGGUACGGUCGCGAGAGUAAACUACGAAGAGUAGACGNGNGAGAGNGCGAGCGACGACGAGGGAGGAGG